GUGUCAGAAAACAAGUCCUUAAACUAAUAAAACGGAUCAUUAGUGUUUAAAAGUCUGUCGUAUUCCUCUAGAUCUACUCCCAGUUGUACAGUCUUUCACUAGAGAACAGUGAAUGGCGGGCUAACUUCAGUAUGGGUGGCAUGAUAAGGGUUUCUCGUGGCCAUCUCAGCGGGGCCAGGUCGUGAGGGGCCCGCCAGGCGACCGAGGUGACACGGGGCUGGUCUGUGAGGGUGCUCGCCGCUGACUUCUGCAGACGCUCGGGGGCACAUGGGCACAUAGAGAUUGUACCGUGAUCCUUUGGGCUGCACUCUCCGGACUUCACACAGGGGAAACAGGACUGUUUUCCAGCGUCCGUCAAAGUCACCGACCUAUUCAGG
Molecule: long non-coding RNA, 377 nt
Organism: Branchiostoma belcheri (Belcher's lancelet)
Lineage: Eukaryota; Metazoa; Chordata; Leptocardii; Amphioxiformes; Branchiostomatidae
Exons: 3
Source: RefSeq, a predicted model, not a curated record